Molecule: ribosomal RNA, 433 nt
Filed under: uncultured bacterium
Lineage: Bacteria
Description: partial 16S ribosomal RNA
Rfam family: Bacterial small subunit ribosomal RNA
Source: RNAcentral
AACGAACGCUGGCGGCAGGCCUAACACAUGCAAGUCGAGCGAGGACUUCGGUUCUAGCGGCGGACGGGUGAGUAACGCGUGGGAAUGUGCCCUUCUCUACGGAAUAGCCCUGGGUAACUGGGAGUAAUACCGUAUACGCCCUAUUGGGGAAAGAUUUAUCGGAGAAGGAUCAGCCCGCGUUGGAUUAGGUAGUUGGUGGGGUAAUGGCCUACCAAGCCGACGAUCCAUAGCUGGUUUGAGAGGAUGAUCAGCCACACUGGGACUGAGACACGGCCCAGACUCCUACGGGAGGCAGCAGUGGGGAAUCUUAGACAAUGGGGGCAACCCUGAUCUAGCCAUGCCGCGUGAGUGAUGAAGGCCUUAGGGUUGUAAAGCUCUUUCAGCUGGGAAGAUAAUGACGGUACCAGCAGAAGAAGCCCCGGCUAACUCCGUG